This 440-nucleotide ribosomal RNA is filed under the name uncultured bacterium. RNAcentral describes it as "bacterial SSU rRNA". It matches the Rfam family "Bacterial small subunit ribosomal RNA", at positions 355 to 796 of the family's 1533-position model. The record is from RNAcentral.
UGAGGAAUAUUCCACAAUGGGCGAAAGCCUGAUGGAGCGACGCCGCGUGCGGGAUGAAGCCCUUUGGGGUGUAAACCGCUUUUAGGAGGGAUGAUACACGGUGAAAGCCGUUAAGACAGUACCUCCUGAAUAAGCAUCGGCUAACUACGUGCCAGCAGCCGCGGUAAUACGUAGGAUGCAAGCGUUGUCCGGAUUUACUGGGCGUAAAGCGCGCGCAGGCGGCACUCUAAGUACGCUGUGAAAUAUCCCGGCUCAACCGGGAGGGUGCAGUGUAGACUAGAGAGCUUGAGGUCGGUAGAGGGGGGUAGAAUUGCUGGUGUAGCGGUGAAAUGCGUAGAGAUCAGCAGGAAUACCCGUGGCGAAGGCGGCCCCCUGGGCCGUACCUGACGCUGAGGCGCGAAGGCUAGGGGAGCGAACGGGAUUAGAUACCCCCGUAGUCC